AAAGCAUUCUCUGGUGUUGAAGGCCCUGCAAAGCAGCAUCGCGGUGGCGGAGCGUCGUUUGCGACGCCCAACACACAAAACAAGCGGUGAGUGCUUUGGGGUGGGGUGACUGCGUACCUUUUGUAUAAUGGGUCAGCGACUUAUAUUCUGUAGCAAGGUUAACCGUAUAGGGGAGCCGUAGGGAAACCGAGUCUUAACCGGGCGUUAAGUUGCAGGGUAUAGACCCGAAACCCGGUGAUCUAGCCAUGGGCAGGUUGAAGGUUGGGUAACACUAACUGGAGGACCGAACCGACUAAUGUUGAAAAAUUAGCGGAUGACUUGUGGCUGGGGGUGAAAGGCCAAUCAAACCGGGAGAUAGCUGGUUCUCCCCGAAAGCUAUUUAGGUAGCGCCUCGUGAAUUCAUCUUCGGGGGUAGAGCACUGUUUCGGCUAGGGGGUCAUCCCGACUUACCAACCCGAUGCAAACUGCGAAUACCGGAGAAUGUUAUCACGGGAGACACACGGCGGGUGCUAACGUCCGUCGUGAAGAGGGAAACAACCCAGACCGCCAGCUAAGGUCCCAAAGUCAUGGUUAAGUGGGAAACGAUGUGGGAAGGCCCAGACAGCCAGGAUGUUGGCUUAGAAGCAGCCAUCAUUUAAAGAAAGCGUAAUAGCUCACUGGUCGAGUCGGCCUGCGCGGAAGAUGUAACGGGGCUAAACCAUGCACCGAAGCUGCGGCAGCGACACUGUGUGUUGUUGGGUAGGGGAGCGUUCUGUAAGCCUGCGAAGGUGGCCUGUGAGGGUUGCUGGAGGUAUCAGAAGUGCGAAUGCUGACAUAAGUAACGAUAAAGCGGGUGAAAAGCCCGCUCGCCGGAAGACCAAGGGUUCCUGUCCAACGUUAAUCGGGGCAGGGUGAGUCGACCCCUAAGGCGAGGCCGAAAGGCGUAGUCGAUGGGAAACAGGUUAAUAUUCCUGUACUUGGUGUUACUGCGAAGGGGGGACGGAGAAGGCUAUGUUGGCCGGGCGACGGUUGUCCCGGUUUAAGCGUGUAGGUGUGUGUUCCAGGUAAAUCCGGUUCACUUUAACACUGAUGCGUGAUGACGAGGCACUACGGUGCUGAAGCAACAAAUGCCCUGCUUCCAGGAAAAGCCUCUAAGCAUCAGGUAACAUCAAAUCGUACCCCAAACCGACACAGGUGGUCAGGUAGAGAAUACCAAGGCGCUUGAGAGAACUCGGGUGAAGGAACUAGGCAAAAUGGUGCCGUAACUUCGGGAGAAGGCA
RNAcentral lists this ribosomal RNA (1259 nucleotides) under Salmonella enterica. RNAcentral's name for it is "partial 23S ribosomal RNA". It matches the Rfam family "Bacterial large subunit ribosomal RNA", at positions 566 to 1748 of the family's 2925-position model. Lineage: Bacteria; Pseudomonadati; Pseudomonadota; Gammaproteobacteria; Enterobacterales; Enterobacteriaceae. The record is from RNAcentral.